AUUGAACGCUGGCGGCAGGCCUAACACAUGCAAGUCGAACGAGUCGCGGACGGGUGAGAAGUGUCUGGGAAACUGCCUGAUGGAGGGGGAUCACUACUGGACACGGUCGCUAAUCCCGCAUACUAUCGGAUGUGCCCAGAGGGGAUUAGCUAGUAGGUGGGGUAAAGGCUCACCUAGGACACGAUCCCUAGCUGGUCUGAGAGGAGGACCAGCCACACUGGAACUGAGACACGGUCCAGACUCCUACGGGAGGCAGCAGUGGGGAAUAUUGGGCAAUGGGCGCAAGCCUGAUACAGCCAGGCCGCGUGUAUGAAGAAGGCCUUCGGGUUGUAAAGUACUGUCGGCGGGGAGGCGUUAGCCGCAGAAGAAGCACCGGCUAACUCCGUGCCAGCAGCCGCGGUAAUAC
Molecule: ribosomal RNA, 406 nt
Filed under: uncultured bacterium
Lineage: Bacteria
Description: partial 16S ribosomal RNA
Rfam family: Bacterial small subunit ribosomal RNA
Source: RNAcentral